AUCACAGCCAUAUCACCCCGCAGCCCAAGACUGGUUGCCCACUGAAGCUAAGCAGGGUUGAGCCUGGUCAGUACCUGGAUGGGAGACCUCCUGGGAAAACUAGGUUGCUGCUGGAA
RNAcentral lists this ribosomal RNA (116 nucleotides) under Sinocyclocheilus rhinocerous. Lineage: Eukaryota; Metazoa; Chordata; Actinopteri; Cypriniformes; Cyprinidae. The record is from RNAcentral.